This is a long non-coding RNA of Drosophila albomicans, 1351 nucleotides long. RefSeq lists it as uncharacterized. The transcript is spliced from 4 exons. Lineage: Eukaryota; Metazoa; Arthropoda; Insecta; Diptera; Drosophilidae. The record is from RefSeq and is a predicted model, not a curated record.
UGCAAUAAGCUUCGGUACCGCGACUGCUGAAAAAUGAAAAAUGUUUAUUUUAAAGUGAGUAAUUAAGUGUUUAGUUGAAAUUAAACAGUGAAUUAUGGUGCCACACCUUUCUUCGGCUUUAUACAACACAAAUAUGGGUUGCAGCUGCAUUGCAUUUUUGCCAAUGAUGAUGAUGAUGUCAUCCGCAGAGUAACAGCAAAUGCGCUGAAUACGCUGAACACACACACACAAUAAAUCAGGGGCCGAUCUCUCUGCGCUUAUGCUCAUGCUCAAGUCUGACAGCUGGAGACCUGACUCCGACUCCGCCGAUGCCGCAGUCGAUGCAGACAGCGACAGCGAAUGAAGUGGAGCAGCUGCCAGAGAUUAGUCAGUUUUAGUGACUGGCGGCGCACUUUAAUUCUCUUGGGGCUAGGCCAAGCUGCUCAACUGGUUUUCUGCUCGCCUCCAAGGGGCAUCGGGAGCUGCUGAGCUGGAAGUGUGCUCAAAGAUCAAGAAAAAAAUAUGGUCGCACUGCUCUGGAUUUGGCGGCGUAUUAAGACAAAGAUAGUCUGGUGCUGUAUCUGCUAGAGAAGGGCGUCAAUCUGAAGCACAUUGAUGUGAACAGCAAGCGUCCUUUGGUUUCUUUGAUUGUCUUUACCAACAUCCAGGCGGUGCAGGUGUUUCUGCGCAAGAGCAACACCCUGGAGGUGCUGCCGAACAAAUUGCUGGAGGAUGACAAUGUUCCGUAUCGCAAGAGUCGUUUCCAGGACGCGGCAAAUUACGAUCUUCGGUCUUCAGCAGCUGCUUGAGAGGAACACUGAAUUUCCCCACCUUCACACCAAUCUGCUGCAAGAGAAAACUCAAUAAACUCGACGCCUCCACGCAAGCUAUUCUCCGGGUACUGCUCAGCUAUGACGGUAACUAUGCUCGAGCCAAGGCGCACUCGAUCCCAACGAUUCCAUGCAAAAUUCUGCGUAGAGCGGUAGUCCAUUGCGAGAUCGUUGAAGUCCUUAAGCGCAUUACCAUCGAAGAUCAGACUACUUCUGGCAAUUUAACCAAUGAUGGAGCGGAAGCAGCAGCGGGUGUAUGUGCUGUCUACGAAACUCAGUUAGAGAUCCCCGAUAUGUAAAUGUGCUCAACGUUUUUGUUAUUAUACGUCCUAUCGCGAUCGAAUCACAUGUUAUUAGAUUUUAGUUCUUAACUACUUUCAUAUAUGUAUUGUGUUUGAAUGUUUUAAUUUUACAAAUGUAUUUGUUCUAUUUAUUUUAAUUUCGCAUUUACAAACUACUUCUAUUCAACUUCACUCACUUAGGUUUAUCUUGAAUAAUUAAAUAAUGGAGGAUUGUAAAAAUAUUUGAGUUAAGAUAAUUGU